This 446-nucleotide ribosomal RNA is filed under the name uncultured soil bacterium. Its description in RNAcentral is "bacterial SSU rRNA". It matches the Rfam family "Bacterial small subunit ribosomal RNA", at positions 26 to 517 of the family's 1533-position model. The record is from RNAcentral.
AGAACGAACGCUGGCGGCAUGCCUAAUACAUGCAAGUCGAACGAACUCUUCGGAGUUAGUGGCGCACGGGUGCGUAACGCGUGGGAAUCUGCCCCUUGGUUCGGAAUAACAGUUGGAAACGACUGCUAAUACCGGAUGAUGACGAAAGUCCAAAGAUUUAUCGCCAAGGGAUGAGCCCGCGUAGGAUUAGCUAGUUGGUGAGGUAAAGGCUCACCAAGGCAACGAUCCUUAGCUGGUCUGAGAGGAUGAUCAGCCACACUGGGACUGAGGCACGGCCCAGACUCCUACGGGAGGGCAGCAGUAGGGAAUAUUGGACAAUGGGCGAAAGCCUGAUCCAGCAAUGCCGCGUGAGUGAUGAAGGCCUUAGGUUGUAAAGCUCUUUUACCCGAGAUGAUAAUGACAGUAUCGGAAGAAUAAGCCCCGGACUAACUCCGUGCCAGCAGCCG